GCCGUCGUGGCUUAGUGGUAUAGCGGCUGAUUCGUAAUCAGCAGGCCGGGGGUUCGAAUCCCCCCGACGGCU
This is a transfer RNA of Methanohalophilus mahii DSM 5219, 72 nucleotides long. It matches the Rfam family "tRNA". Rfam says of the family: Transfer RNA (tRNA) molecules are approximately 80 nucleotides in length. Their secondary structure includes four short double-helical elements and three loops (D, anti-codon, and T loops). Further hydrogen bonds mediate the characteristic L-shaped molecular structure. tRNAs have two regions of fundamental functional importance: the anti-codon, which is responsible for specific mRNA codon recognition, and the 3' end, to which the tRNAs corresponding amino acid is attached (by aminoacyl-tRNA synthetases). tRNAs cope with the degeneracy of the genetic code in two manners: having more than one tRNA (with a specific anti-codon) for a particular amino acid; and 'wobble' base-pairing, i.e. permitting non-standard base-pairing at the 3rd anti-codon position. The record is from Rfam. NCBI's taxonomy places the organism in Archaea, Methanobacteriati, Methanobacteriota, Methanomicrobia, Methanosarcinales, Methanosarcinaceae.